RNAcentral lists this transfer RNA (96 nucleotides) under Shewanella sp. SG41-4. Its description in RNAcentral is "tRNA-OTHER". The record is from RNAcentral. Lineage: Bacteria; Pseudomonadati; Pseudomonadota; Gammaproteobacteria; Alteromonadales; Shewanellaceae.
CGCGGGAUGGAGCAGUUGGUAGCUCGUCGGGCUCAGCUUUUUAUUAAUAAAGAGUCGAAGGUCGUAGUUUUUUAUCAAGUCUUACUCCCACAACCA